UACAGAGGGUGCGAGCGUUGUCCGGAAUCACUGGGCGUAAAGGGCGCGUAGGUGGUGGCUUAAGCGUGCGGUGAAAGCUCGGGGCUCAACUCCGAGUCGGCCGUGCGAACUGGGCUCACUGGAGCAUAGUAGAGGCAGGUGGAAUUCCGGGUGUAGCGGUGGAAUGCGUAGAGAUCCGGCAGAAGACCGGUGGCGAAGGCGGCCAGCUGGGCAGUGACUGACGCUGGAGACGCGAAAGCGUGGGGAGCAAACAGG
This 255-nucleotide ribosomal RNA is filed under the name uncultured bacterium. RNAcentral describes it as "partial 16S ribosomal RNA". It matches the Rfam family "Bacterial small subunit ribosomal RNA", at positions 524 to 776 of the family's 1533-position model. The record is from RNAcentral.